GAGUUUGAUCGUGGCUCAGGAUGAACGCUGGCGGCGUGCCUAAUACAUGCAAGUCGAACGAACAGAUAAGGAGCUUGCUCCUUUGACGUUAGCGGCGGACGGGUGAGUAACACGUGGGUAACCUACCUAUAAGACUGGGAAUAACUCCGGGAAACCUGGGCUAAUGCCGGAUAACAUGUUGAACCGCAUGGUUCUACAGUGAAAGACGGUCUUGCUGUCACUUAUAGAUGGACCCGCGCCGUAUUAGCUAGUUGGUGGGGUAACGGCCUACCAAGGCGACGAUACGUAGCCGACCUGAGAGGGUGAUCGGCCACACUGGAACUGAGACACGGUCCAGACUCCUACGGGAGGCAGCAGUAGGGAAUCUUCCGCAAUGGGCGAAAGCCUGACGGAGCAACGCCGCGUGAGUGAUGAAGGUCUUCGGAUCGUAAAGCUCUGUUGUUAGGAAGAACAAAUGUGUAAGUAACUGUGCAUAUCUUGACGGUACCUAACCAGAAGCCACGGCUAACUACGUGCCAGCCGCCGCAA
Molecule: ribosomal RNA, 528 nt
Filed under: uncultured microorganism
Description: bacterial SSU rRNA
Rfam family: Bacterial small subunit ribosomal RNA
Source: RNAcentral